Molecule: ribosomal RNA, 479 nt
Filed under: uncultured eukaryote
Lineage: Eukaryota
Description: bacterial SSU rRNA
Rfam family: Eukaryotic small subunit ribosomal RNA
Source: RNAcentral
GGAAUGAGAACAAUUUAAACCCCUUAACGAGUAACCAUCAGAGGGCAAGUCUGGUGCCAGCAGCCGCGGUAAUUCCAGCUCUGAUAGCGUAUAUUAAAGUUGUUGCAGUUAAAAAGCUCGUAGUUGGAUUUUAGAGUAUAUUGAUAUGGUCUCUUGUGAUAAACUUGUUGUACUGUAUUAAUUACUCUUUCCUACUGGUUACUCGACUCUGUUCUUUAUUGCAUGGAGUAGUGUCGCAAGGCAUCGCUUAGUAUUUUAUUGCUUUUAGAUGUAGUAAUUGGGUAAAACUGGUUAUGAAACCUAAGGGAUCACAGUAAGGUAUUAAGUGGGGUUCCAGUUCAUUUACUUUGAGUAAAAUUAGAGUGUUCAAAGCAGCCUGUAUGGGCAUUGAAUAGAUUAGCAUGGGAUAAUAGAAUAGGAUUCUUAUCUAUUUAUUGGUUUAUAGAUUUAGAAUAAUGAUUAAUAGGGAUAGUUGGGGG